UGCAAGUCGAACGGUAGCACAGAGGAGCUUGCUCCUUGGGUGACGAGUGGCGGACGGGUGAGUAAUGUCUGGGAAACUGCCCGAUGGAGGGGGAUAACUACUGGAAACGGUAGCUAAUACCGCAUAACGUCGCAAGACCAAAGAGGGGGACCUUCGGGCCUCUUGCCAUCGGAUGUGCCCAGAUGGGAUUAGCUAGUAGGUGGGGUAACGGCUCACCUAGGCGACGAUCCCUAGCUGGUCUGAGAGGAUGACCAGCCACACUGGAACUGAGACACGGUCCAGACUCCUACGGGAGGCAGCAGUGGGGAAUAUUGCACAAUGGGCGCAAGCCUGAUGCAGCCAUGCCGCGUGUAUGAAGAAGGCCUUCGGGUUGUAAAGUACUUUCAGCGAGGAGGAAGGUGUUGUGGUUAAUAACCGCAGCAAUUGACGUUACUCGCAGAAGAAGCACCGGCUAACUCCGUGCCAGCAGCCGCGGUAAUACGGAGGGUGCAAGCGUUAAUCGGAAUUACUGGGCGUAAAGCGCACGCAGGCGGUCUGUCAAGUCGGAUGUGAAAUCCCCGGGCUCAACCUGGGAACUG
Molecule: ribosomal RNA, 578 nt
Filed under: Citrobacter freundii
Lineage: Bacteria; Pseudomonadati; Pseudomonadota; Gammaproteobacteria; Enterobacterales; Enterobacteriaceae
Description: bacterial SSU rRNA
Rfam family: Bacterial small subunit ribosomal RNA
Source: RNAcentral